AAAUAAGAAGCAAAAUAUUGCAUUUAGUUUCGACCUAAAAAUUUGAUUUUUAUCCUUAUUUA
Molecule: transfer RNA, 62 nt
Filed under: Gastrolina depressa
Lineage: Eukaryota; Metazoa; Arthropoda; Insecta; Coleoptera; Chrysomelidae
Description: tRNA-Arg
Source: RNAcentral